UACGGAAGGCAGCAGUGGGGAAUAUUGCACAAUGGGCGCAAGCCUGAUGCAGCCAUGCCGCGUGUAUGAAGAAGGCCCUUCGGGUUGUAAAGUACUUUCAGUCGUGAGGAAGGUGUUAAGGUUAAUAACCUUAGCAAUUGACGUUAGCGACAGAAGAAGCACCGGCUAACUCCGUGCCAGCAGCCGCGGUAAUACGGAGGGUGCGAGCGUUAAUCGGAAUUACUGGGCGUAAAGGGCACGCAGGCGGUUAAUUAAGUUGGAUGUGAAAUCCCCGGGCUUAACCUGGGAAUGGCAUUCAAGACUGGUUAGCUAGAGUCUUGUAGAGGGGGUAGAAUUCCAUGUGUAGCGGUGAAAUGCGUAAAGAUGUGGAGGAAUACCGGUGGCGAAGGCGGCCCCUGGACAAAGACUGACGCUCAUGUGCGAAAGCGUGGGGAGCAAACGAGGGAUUAGAUACC
Molecule: ribosomal RNA, 455 nt
Filed under: uncultured bacterium
Lineage: Bacteria
Description: bacterial SSU rRNA
Rfam family: Bacterial small subunit ribosomal RNA
Source: RNAcentral